UAAACUUUGCCUCCCUAUUCCCUUCCAAGC
RNAcentral lists this non-coding RNA (30 nucleotides) under Rattus norvegicus (Norway rat). The record is from RNAcentral. Lineage: Eukaryota; Metazoa; Chordata; Mammalia; Rodentia; Muridae.